This 425-nucleotide ribosomal RNA is filed under the name uncultured rumen bacterium. Its description in RNAcentral is "bacterial SSU rRNA". It matches the Rfam family "Bacterial small subunit ribosomal RNA", at positions 354 to 776 of the family's 1533-position model. The record is from RNAcentral.
GUGGGGAAUAUUGGUCAAUGGUCGAGAGACUGAACCAGCCAAGUAGCGUGCAGGAUGACGGCCCUAUGGGUUGUAAACUGCUUUUAUACGGGGAUAAAGUGAGCCACGUGUGGUUUUUUGCAGGUACCGUAUGAAUAAGGACCGGCUAAUUCCGUGCCAGCAGCCGCGGUAAUACGGAAGGUCCGGGCGUUAUCCGGAUUUAUUGGGUUUAAAGGGAGCGCAGGCGGGUUGUUAAGCGUGACGUGAAAUGUAGCCGCUCAACGGCUGAACUGCGUCGCGAACUGGCAGUCUUGAGUGAGUACGACGUCAGCGGAAUUCGUGGUGUAGCGGUGAAAUGCUUAGAUAUCACGAAGAACCCCGAUUGCGAAGGCAGCUGACGAGUCCUUUACUGACGCUAAAGCUCGAAGGUGCGGGUAUCGAACAGG